GUGUUAUAAGCAAAACAGUCAAAGGGACUGUAAAAUAGUAACUUUUAUUUCUUUAAAAAUACAUUAAAAUUUUUAUUACUACCUGUCAUGCUCAGAUACAUAUCAUAGGAUAAAAUUUCCCUAAAAUAUAAAAUGGAAUGUUAUGUCUUUAAAAGAUGGUGAUGGCUAAAGACAUCUGCUUCUGUGGCCCACUCCAGGUCAUCUGCAGGAUCUACAGGCCUUCAGGAAGGGUAGAAAGGGUUUGCAGCAACAUGGCCAGUGAGCCACAGCCUCAUGGUGACCAGAGAGCUCGCCUCCCAGCACUGUUCUCAAUGGCUUCUUCCAAAAGACUGUCAGAUGCAACAAAAACACAGUGAAAAGGGAGAAGGGAGUCGGAAAGAGACAGG
This 386-nucleotide long non-coding RNA is filed under the name Cricetulus griseus (Chinese hamster). RNAcentral describes it as "lncRNA (ENSCGRG00015038915.1)". Lineage: Eukaryota; Metazoa; Chordata; Mammalia; Rodentia; Cricetidae. The record is from RNAcentral.